This 456-nucleotide ribosomal RNA is filed under the name uncultured Acholeplasma sp. RNAcentral's name for it is "bacterial SSU rRNA". It matches the Rfam family "Bacterial small subunit ribosomal RNA", at positions 923 to 1381 of the family's 1533-position model. Lineage: Bacteria; Bacillati; Mycoplasmatota; Mollicutes; Acholeplasmatales; Acholeplasmataceae. The record is from RNAcentral.
GCACAAGCGGUGGAUCAUGUUGUUUAAUUCGAUGAUACGCGAAGAACUUACCAGGUCUUGACAUCCCCCGCGAUGCUUUAGAGAUAAAGCGGAGGUAUUCGGGGAGACAGGUGGUGCAUGGUUGUCGUCAGCUCGUGUCGUGAGAUGUUGGGUUAAGUCCCGCAACGAGCGCAACCCCUAUUGCUAGUUACCAUCAUUAAGUUGGGGACUCUAGCGAGACUGCCAGUGAUAAACUGGAGGAAGGUGGGGAUGACGUCAAAUCAUCAUGCCCCUUAUGACCUGGGCUACAAACGUGAUACAAUGGCUGGAACAAAGGGAUGCGAAGCAGUGAUGUGGAGCGAAACCCAUAAAACCGAUCGUAGUCCGGAUCGCAGUCUGCAACUCGACUGCGUGAAGUCGGAAUCGCUAGUAAUCGUGAACUUCACGAAUCGUCACGGUGAAUAACGUUCCGGGCUU